CCUAAAGCAAAUAUUAUGAUUAAUUAAGCCAUAGGGCUAAUGAGGUCCAUUUGGAGUAAUUAGGAUCUUAGCUGCUAAAGACAGGGUAAAUAAUAGUGGGUAAGGUUUCUUUAAGGCCAGACAGAAUCUUGGGGAGGGUGCCUGUUGGAAUUCUGGGUAGCUUGAGUCAGUUGGGGUUUCUAACUGCCAACAGACUCCUGGAGGUUUUUUCCCUAGGAGAAGGUUGGUGUUUCUGUUCCCUGGAACACUGAAAAACCCCAGUGGCAGGUGAAGGAGGAGAACAGGCUGGUCUACAUCAGGUAUAAAGUCAGGAAUAGAACUUCUGAAUCAAAGACUCAUCAAAGUAUUGACGUCGAGAGCUGGAAGUGACCUCAGAGAUCAUCUUAUCUCAUCUCAAUUUACAGGUAUGGCCAUGAAAAAUUCCAUGGAAGCAUAGCCUAAAGGAGACACCAACCCUACCCAUAGGCAGCAUGGGGUGAUCACCCAUCAGUCAUCAAUAACGCACUACCUAUUAUUUUAUCCAAAGCCCUUCCUUCUAUAAUGUAUAAAAUUACAUGUAAGUGUUACUAGCUUUAAUGAUCACACUCUCUAGUGACUAUUAAUAAAAUGCAUAUUUUAUUGCA
RNAcentral lists this long non-coding RNA (623 nucleotides) under Monodelphis domestica (gray short-tailed opossum). RNAcentral describes it as "lncRNA (ENSMODG00000035688.2)". The record is from RNAcentral. Lineage: Eukaryota; Metazoa; Chordata; Mammalia; Didelphimorphia; Didelphidae.